RNAcentral lists this ribosomal RNA (509 nucleotides) under uncultured bacterium. RNAcentral's name for it is "bacterial SSU rRNA". It matches the Rfam family "Bacterial small subunit ribosomal RNA", at positions 28 to 533 of the family's 1533-position model. The record is from RNAcentral.
GAUGAACGCUAGCGGCAGGCCUAACACAUGCAAGUCGAGGGGCAUCGCGGUGCAGCAAUGCACUGGCGGCGACCGGCGUACGGGUGCGUAACGCGUAUGCAACCUGCCCCGCACCGGGGGAUAGCCCGCCGAAAGGCGGAUUAAUACCCCAUGGUCCCGGGGGCCCGCAUGGGCAUCCGGGUAAAGCCUUGGCGGUGCGGGAUGGGCAUGCGUGCCAUUAGCUGGCUGGUGGGGUAACGGCCCACCAGGGCAACGAUGGCUAGGGGGUCUGAGAGGAUGGUCCCCCACACUGGUACUGAGACACGGACCAGACUCCUACGGGAGGCAGCAGUGAGGAAUAUUGGUCAAUGGGCGGAAGCCUGAACCAGCCAUGCCGCGUGCGGGAUGAAGGCCCUACGGGUUGUAAACCGCUUUUCCCCGGGAAGAAUAACCCCGAUGAGUCGGUGAUGCCGUACCGGGGAAUAAGGAUCGGCUAACUCCGUGCCAGCAGCCGCGGUAAAGUGUGUGUA